GAACUGGCCUCUUUAGAGGCCAACUUAUUGAUUCAACAAUAUUAAAU
Molecule: non-coding RNA, 47 nt
Organism: Loxodonta africana (African savanna elephant)
Lineage: Eukaryota; Metazoa; Chordata; Mammalia; Proboscidea; Elephantidae
Source: Rfam